UUAGAGGCCACUUUCUUCAAGUCUCUAAUUUUGCAUAUGAGAAACACUAAGACUCAGCAGAUAAGGAUGGAGGCGACUCAACAUCACACUGAGACAGGUCAUCUGGGACCCAUGGUUUCUAACUUCUAGACCGAAUCUCUUUCUUUCGAAUGUCCAGAUCAUCUCUCCUUCUUCUAAAAACCAAAGAGGCCUCUGCAUGCCUCUCCCUGGAUAUGAGCCCUGCAUUUCUGAAUGCCUUGAAAGAAAAACCAGCAAGUUGGGAGGGCCGUGUCUCCUUAUCAUCUUCCAGGAAUUCAAAACCGUGAUUUCCAGUUUCCAAAUGCAACUCAAGCUCCAUCACCCUGUACAUCUUGCACGGUUUCUCCAGCAUAUCCUGAUCGCCACCUCCAGACCCUUCUGAUAGAUUCAUUACCUGAAUCUAUUUGCUAUUUCUUUAUAUGAAUGCAAGAAUGGACUAACACACUGACCAUGGAACAUAGACAGAUGUGAGAAGAUCCAGAAAAGAUGCAGCUCAAUUAAUUAGAAAGGCCUCUGGAAUGGGCACAAGCCAGAUCCUGAACUCCUGCUCUCCCUUGGCUCAACCUCAUCACAGCCAGAAAGGAUGAGAGCUCUUUAAUGAAGUGCAUACAUGUCAGUUUCCCAGGACACAAACCAAAGUAAAGAAGAAUGGAGCAUGCUCCUAUAAAGGAAAAUAAAAGGAGAUCCAUAAAGCAAAUCCAACUCAUGGACACUUACUAAACAUGCACUGUGUUCAUGUAAUGGCUCCAAGAAUCUUAGUGGACAUGGACGGAAGUACACACCUGGAGUGGACCUACAGAAGCUCAGAGUCAAAUGGCAGAAAGAUGAUAUGGGCAUUGAAUACAUUAAAUGAAAAUAAAAGUAAUAAAUCACAAGAGAAGAGAGUAACUGAGGGUGUCACUGGGCAGUACAUUAGCAAUUAAUUACCAGACACCUAUGCAGUUAAAAUGUACUGCUGGCCUUCAAAGGUGAAGGAAUCCAUGGCCUGGAAUGACCAUAAAAAAUUUAUUUUAACAAAAAGACAUGACUGUAGCCUUUUAGGGUAAAGAGAUUUUAACAUUUGAAGAGCAGAGAGACAGGUACAGCAUUGCAGGCUAGGAAAUGUGGGAGUUCAAAAUGGCAGACCAGGAGGAAGGCAAGUUGUGUUUGGGAAAAUUGACUUUAUGGUUAUUAGAAAGACCAUGUAAGCAAGCAGAGAUCAAUUGUGCUAGAAAUGUUUUUCAAAUUGAGCAUCUGGUGUGUGUUAGGCACUGCUCUCGGCACUGGGGAUACAGCUGUGAACAUGAUCAACAAGGACCCUGCAAUCAUGGAGAUUAAAUUAUAGUGAGGCAAACAGAAUAUAAAUAAAUAUACACAUUAGGUGAAAGCCAGACAGCUUCGGGUCUUAUGGAGAGAGUUACUGUUGGAGCAUGUACUAGAGAAUGACUAAAUGGUAACUAUAUGGGAUGGUCGAAGAUGACCUCAAUGAGGAAUCUCUACACUUAGAUAAGACCCAAAUAGCAAGAAUGGUUCUUGUUCUGUAUUAUAAUCAAGAGGAAGAGGAUUUCAGGCAGAGGGAAAAAUGGGAUCCAUGGGCUAAAACAGGUACUUGAAUGAUGUUUUUGAGGAAAUAAAUGAAGAUCAGGGUGGCUAGAGCAUUGUGAUGAAGGUUUACACCAGGUGCUGGCUGGUUUUUAUUCCUAGUGAGAGACAAUUGUUGCAUUUUCAGGGAUUUUGUAAGGCAAUUCAUAUAACGUUGGUAGCUUAUAAUUGACUAUGGUAGGAAUAUUCAUACCUGAGAAAUCGGCAAACACUGUGAAUCAGGACUCCCUCUUUGUCCCCAACCCUCAACUCCCAUUCAGAGAGCCUGUUUUUGAGUAUUUUCUUGCAUACCACAGAGUGAGUAUAAGAAGCAGCUGGAAUAGUAACUAGGAACCAAUCAUCUUAGGCUUUAUAAGGCAGAGAAAGGAAUUUUAAUUUUAGGUGUGUUGGGAAGCCAUUAGUGGGUCUUAUGUAGGAAAUGAAUAUGGUCUGAUUUACAUAUGUAAAGGAUAAUUCUGAGUAUGUUAUGGAACACUUUGUAAAUAGGUAAAAAGAGAAAUAGGAAAAUCAGCUAUUGCAUUAGACUCAGUUAGAAGUGGCAGUGGUUUUGCUAGGGGUUAUAUAAAAGGAAGAAAACUUAAUAAUGUUAGGCCUGACUAUAGGUAGAAUCUAUAGUUUUUACUCAUGAAUUGGAUGUAAGAAUUGAGGAGAAACGAAGAACCAAGUAAAAAUUUUGAGCUUUGGCUUGGGAAACUAGGUAUAUGGUAACGCCAAAAAGAGAGAUGUAGAGAAUUGAUGUAGGAGCAAAGCUGGGCUGGGAAAUUGAGAAAAUUAUACCUGCCUUGUUAAAGUUGAAACACCCACAUGACACUCACCUGGAAGGAUAUUCACACUUGGAUUGUUGGGGAAUAAUAAGAACUAGAGAUACAGUUUGAGGGUCACUGGCAUAGAGAUAGUAAUUAAAACCAGGAUGUCAGUUAUAUCACCUAGGGAUAAUGCAAAGAGAGAGAAAAGCAGGAGAUAAGACAGAUCGAGCAGUGGGAGAAGCCGGCAUUGAAGAAUGAAGAGGAAAACCAGGCGUGUCUAGUGCCAUGAUGCCAAGAGAAAAACCCAGCUCCGAGAAGACAGGAGUUUGUUUGCUAAUGUUAUUGAGGGAUAAAGUAAAAUACGAAGAGAGAAGUAACUUGGACUGGCGGCAAAGCGAUCACCAGUGCUCCUUCUAACUGUGGUGUCGAUAAAGUAAUGUGGACUGGAUGAAGGAGCCUCGUUGGAAUAAACUCAUAUAGGAAUGAUGAUACCGUGUUUACCUACUAAUGGGAAUGACCCUAUUGAAGAGGGAACAUCACGUAUGUUGGGGAGCGGAAAAGUCAAAGUCCUCGAAAAGGAAGCACUUUGGAAACCAAUGGCUGAAAAGUUUGCUUUCUGUGAGAAGUGUAAAUCAAAGUCAUGUUUCUGUUUCCAGCAGUAGAGGAAAGAGAGAUAAACCUGAUGGACACAAGCAGGGCCCUGGAUCCACUUUAAAGGGACAUCCAUGGAAACCAAAGAGAUAAGACUGUGCCUCGUCAAUAAAAACCCCACAUCUCUGGGACUCUGCCACCUGGGGCAUUGUUGCCCUGAAGGAAGAAGCUGAAGGGGAGAUUUAGUUCAUUUGAUUAUCAGCCAGAGAGGAGCCAUCCUUCAAGGCCUCCCAGUCUCUGGCUGCAGCAGUAACUGUAACACUUUCAGCAAGUCUGUACCUAGGCCUUGAUCUGUGUGUAACUUUGGAGGUAGUUGAGCCGUUAUUUGAAAGAAUAUUAUUUUGAGCAAAGGAAGGAGCAGUAAGAGCUUUGGCUCUCCAAUGGGGAAAAAUGUAUUCAUCCUUUCAAACCUCUCAGUUAGACUUAGGCAAAAUGCCCAAUCUGCAGAAAACAAUUGGAGAUCCCUCUGAGGUCCUACUUGGUGGAUCUUCUCUCUUAGAAGUGAAUAGACACAGGAGCACAGGGGUCUUAUGCAAUAGAUAAAAGUUCCUGCCUCUGGACACACAGCUCAACCUCCAGUCUCUGAUAGAGGGAGGACCUAUGCCUUUCCAUGUGUGCCCAGAACUCACCAGCAUCUUCCCUUGCCUGCAGAGAUCAGUUCCUACUGCUCCUUCCUUGGCUCAAAAUAUAUAUUUUUUUAAAUAAUGGCUCAAAUACCUCCAAUGCUGGUAACUAAGAAUGCCUGAAAGGGACUGUUACUGGCUCACCUUAAAAACCAAAGGUGUCAUUUUCUGAACAUUGUUUACAUAUUAUGAUUCAGUAGCAAACACACUGGUUUGGCAGUCAGACCACGAGAGUUUAGCCAUGGCUGUGUCUGCUACUAACUUGCUGUGUGACUUUUUGUACCUCUGUUCAACUCUCUGGGAUGAAUGAGUCAUCCUUUGGGUGACAUGAAGAUAACGCAGAUACUAUUCAGAUUCAUGAUUGUCUCAUCAAGUGAGGCUGCAAUGGCCUCCAAUAAUGCAGAAAGCAAUGAGACAUAUUAGAGAAUCUACACAUUCCAAAACUGUGUUUAAGGUAUUUCACAGAGGUCAUUGGUUGAGAAGUGAAUUCUAUAACAAAUCUGUGAUGUUUGACAAUUGAAAACUAGUAAAACUAUAUAGUUACUUAAAAAAAAAAAGGGAGACUGUCAAUAUACCCAUUGCUUUAAAUGUGUUCACUUUUUAAGUAAUAAAUGUAUCAAAAUUAUUUUUUUUCAUUGGCCUCUGUCAUAAAACAACAACUCAAUGAUGAAAAAAUUCCAGAAAGUUUUUAUGACAAGCUGAGCAGUGGAAACAUGAACUUGUGAAAUAUUUAACUUUAUAUAAUUUCUGAAUCU
This 4374-nucleotide long non-coding RNA is filed under the name Homo sapiens (human). Its description in RNAcentral is "HSALNT0301039". The record is from RNAcentral. Lineage: Eukaryota; Metazoa; Chordata; Mammalia; Primates; Hominidae.